This 161-nucleotide ribosomal RNA is filed under the name uncultured bacterium. Its description in RNAcentral is "partial 16S rRNA". It matches the Rfam family "Bacterial small subunit ribosomal RNA", at positions 358 to 511 of the family's 1533-position model. The record is from RNAcentral.
GGAAUCUUCCACAAUGGGCGCAAGCCUGAUGGAGCAACGCCGCGUGAGUGAAGAAGGUCUUCGGAUCGUAAAACUCUGUUGUUAGAGAAGAACACGAGUGAGAGUAACUGUUCAUUCGAUGACGGUAUCUAACCAGCAAGUCACGGCUAACUACGUGCCAG